Molecule: unclassified non-coding RNA, 843 nt
Filed under: Bradyrhizobium sp.
Lineage: Bacteria; Pseudomonadati; Pseudomonadota; Alphaproteobacteria; Hyphomicrobiales; Nitrobacteraceae
Description: partial 16S-23S ribosomal RNA intergenic spacer
Rfam family: Bacterial large subunit ribosomal RNA (bases 731-843)
Source: RNAcentral
GCUCACUAUCGGAUCGUUUUAGAAACAUCAGUGGCCAACAGAUCGCCAGAUCGUUGAGCUGCAUUGGCGGGAUUUCGCCGUCUUCGUUUCUCUUUCUUCGCGGACGAACACGCGCUGGGCCUGCAACGGCAGGAUCCAGGGUCCUUAACGGGAUGUGCGUUAGGGGCUUGUAGCUCAGUUGGUUAGAGCGCGCGCUUGAUAAGCGUGAGGUCGGAAGUUCAAGUCUUCCCAGGCCCACCACUUUCAUCGAGUGAGCAUUCGUCUUCUGGUUACGGGGCCAUAGCUCAGCUGGGAGAGCGCGUGCUUUGCAAGCAUGAGGUCGUCGGUUCGAUCCCGUCUGGCUCCACCAGAUGGUUUGAUCACCGAGAUCUUGACCGUCGUCCGCGAAACAUCACUUCGCAUCCUGCUAGUCUGGAUAGACAGCAGUUUGCGUGUUUUCUGACAUCGUAAAGAGGAGAUCGAUCCGAGUUGGGUCGUGCAGCAUAUCGUUGCGCGAGCCUUCAUUAUCUCCGGAUCAUUUCGGCGCUCGCUUCCAGCCGUGAGGUUGGAUGCGGGUUGUAAAUGAUCCUUUUAGCGAAGCUUGACCGCCUCGCUAUCGGAACGAUCUUACGAAGCAAGCUGGUCUUUCUAGUCAAUGUCCGGCUGCGGAUAGCGUUCAUCGAGGGCGCGUGCCGCAAGGCAAUUCUGCAGACAACAUUCUGCCGAGUGUGUGGACAUUGAUAAUGAGAGCAAUCAAGUGCCUUAAGGGUGUUCGGUGGAUGCCUUGGCGCUGAGAGGCGAUGAAGGACGUGCUACGCUGCGAUAAGCCGUGGGGAGCUGCGAAGAAGCUUUGAUCCGCGGAUU